This 494-nucleotide ribosomal RNA is filed under the name uncultured bacterium. RNAcentral describes it as "partial 16S ribosomal RNA". It matches the Rfam family "Bacterial small subunit ribosomal RNA", at positions 28 to 507 of the family's 1533-position model. The record is from RNAcentral.
GACGAACGCUGGCGGCGUGCUUAACACAUGCAAGUCGAACGGAAAGGCCUGCUUUCCCUUGUGGAUUGCGGGUACUCGAGUGGCGAACGGGUGAGUAACACGUGAGUGAUCUGCCCCCAACUUGGGUAUAAGCCUGGGAAACUGGGUCUAAUUCCCGAUAGGACUGCAGGGUGGUGCCUGUGGUGGAAAACGAUUGUCUAGUGGUUGGGGAUGAGCUCGCGGCCUAUCAGCUUGUUGGUGGGGUAAUGGCCUACCAAGGCGGCGACGGGUAGCCGGCCUGGGAGGGUGGACGGCCCCAUUGGGACUGAGAUACGGCCCAGACUCCUACGGGCGGCAGCAGUGGGGAGUAUUGGACCAUGGGCGGAAGCCUGAUGCAGCGCCGCCGCGUGGGGGAUGACGGCCUUCGGGUUGUAAUCUCCUUUCGACCGCGAGGAAGCCACCUGGUUGGAAGGGUGGUGACGGUAGUGGUAGAAGAAGCACCGGCUAACUACGUG